Manis pentadactyla (Chinese pangolin) is the source of this 2569-nucleotide long non-coding RNA. RefSeq lists it as uncharacterized. The transcript has 3 exons. Lineage: Eukaryota; Metazoa; Chordata; Mammalia; Pholidota; Manidae. The record is from RefSeq and is a predicted model, not a curated record.
AAAGAACACCCAGCGCAAAGACCACAUGGAAAGCACUCAGGAAAAGCCAAGGGUUGCAUGGCUGGGAGACAGGGGCCAGGGGGCAAAGGGUGGAGGAAGCAGGAAGAAAAGAACAAGCAAGAAAACUGGAGAGGUGGGUCAGGAGCAGCUUAUGGAUGACCUUGCAUAAGGGCUCCAUGAAUUGGACAUUCUUCUGAGGGCCUGGUGGAAUGAGAAGGCUGUAAGCAAGUGAAGGAGGUGAUAAGGGCUCUGCUGUGGGAGGGGCGAGGGAAGGGAGGUCAUUCAGGCCAUGCAACCAUCUUACUGCCCAAGCUGAGUGAGAGCUAGCAUCUCACCACCAAUGGAGCAGCAGAUCCAAAGCAUUUUGGGGGGCAACUGUGAGCUGGGCUCCUGAUCACUGAUAGCUUUUCCUACUCAUUUCAAGUCUUCAGAGUUGCUAUUCACCAAGCUAGGCCCAAAGCUUCCCAGCUCACUGUCACUCAGAAAACUUGUAAGGAGGCAAGGCCCAGAUCCACCACCCCAGGAACUGACCUCCGUGGGUCUAGGUGACACUGUGCACUUUCAUUUCUAAUUACACCCAGGGAGGUUCUGAGGAAGACGAUGCCCUGCACCUCCAUCUCCACAGGACCCACCCACAUCUCCAGGGGGUUGGGGACCUUCUCUGUGCUGACAACUCCUCCUGCCCUGAUCCCCUCCUCAGCCCUGUGUGGCCUCACCACUGCCCACUCAAUGGGUCCUUUGGCUGAACCAAGGUCACCUUUAUCCACCUCCACAAGUCAAAGCCUAAACUCAUUAUCUUCCAUCCAAGCCCACUGCUCUCCCUCCUCCUAGUGCCCAGUUCACAUAUCCAGUUCAGAAAUCUGACAGCAGCCCCUUGUCCCCACAUCCCAUCCACAAGGCAGUCCCAUUGGUUCUGCCUCCAUUUUUACCUCUAACCCAGCACCAUUUCUUCUUCUUUAUCACUGCUACCCUAGUCCAAGCCACUGUCUUGUCUCUGCAAUGGCCCUUGCUUACAGCCUAUUAAUUGCUCUCUCUCCCUCCCACUUUGCCCCAUCUAAUGCAACCUCCUUGUGCCCAUUUCUGACUUAAAACCACCAAUGGCUUCCCAUUGCUCUCAGGAUGAAGUCCCUGCCUUGUCCAGCCCGAUCUCUUGUCCUAAAUGGUGUGCCCUAUCUUCCCCUUUACCUAACAAAUUCCUCAUUGAGAGUGUGGACUUGAGGCAGACUGCCCAGGUUUGAAUACUGGCUCUACCACUUACAAGCUGUGUGAACUUAGGUCAGUUUUUCAACUUUUCUGUGCUCAGUUUCCUCAUCUCUAAAGUGGGGAUAGUAAUAGUAUGCACUUCACAGGGUUGUUGUGAGAAUUAAGUGAGUUAAAUAUUUGAAGUCCUCAAUGCAGUGUCUGUCACAUGCUAAGCACUAUGUAAGUGCUAGCUAAGUGAUUAAUUGUGAUCCUUUAGGUCUCAGGGUCAAUUUAAUUUCCUCCUAGGGCUUCCCUACGCCCCUAAUCCAGACCCGGCUUCCUGGUCGACAAGUCACAUCUUCAACAUAUAGAUUCUGGCCAGCUGCCUGUCUCUCCCUCUGGAGCAUAAGCUAUGUGAGGGCAUGUCCUCAUUCAUCUCAGACACUGCUAUGCCCCAGUGCCCCACACACUGCCAGGCACAGGGUAGGCAACCAGCCCAUAUUUGCUGACUAAACAGAUGAAAUGAAAGUCAGCUGAUUCAUCUCCAAACAGAAAAUUUCUCUACUUACAAAAUGCUCAUCAAUGGUACUUCAUUCAUUAUUCAUUUGACAGUGGAGGCAGAAAGUACCCCUCCCAAUAGUCUUCCUCGUACUGCCGGUGGAGGAGGGCAAGUAAAGGAACAUAGAGAUGAACAAGACAGAUGUGGCCCCUAUUCUGGAGGAAUGAAUAGUCUCCUACAGAGACAGACAUGUAAAUGCAUCAGAAGAUACAGGGUCAUGUAACCACAUUGUUGGCCCUGACCUGCAAUGCUUUUGGUCCCAGGAUGUCUUUGGGAUAAUGAAAAUGAAAAGGGAACAGAUACUGUUGCAGACUUCAGCUGGCCCCUGCAGGUCCUAGCCCAGGUGUCUUUAGAGCAGAAAAGACCACCUUUCCACAGUCUUCCAAGUCCCUGGAGGGUUCAACUUGACCAAGAAAACAGAGAGGAAGGGUGAAAGAUAUUCAGGAUCUUCACACAGAGAAGAUAACGGCUUCUGAAAACAAAUAUAAAUCAAUUAAUUUCCCUUUUUACUGUGUUCCUGGUGAUGCACCGAUUACAAUCGAGCAAAAGAAAAACACUUACAUGCAAGUGUGGCCUCUAAACGACAUUACUGCUAUGGGGCUCCAAGUGGCCUGGCCCGGGCCCAGCUGAGGCCGGGCAGGCAGAGUGGAAGGCUCAGCUGCAAGCAGAGCGGCAGGUGCCCUGGACAGUGAAAUGGAGAAACUGAGUCCCAGGGAGGAGCAGGGCCCACCCUAUCAGCAGUGAUGGACAUCAGGGCAGAGCAAGAACAACCUGGGGAGGAGCCUGCCUAUCAGCUGUCUCCAUUGCCCCACUGGGUGUUCAUGAAAA